RNAcentral lists this ribosomal RNA (969 nucleotides) under Triticum aestivum (bread wheat). RNAcentral describes it as "partial small subunit ribosomal RNA". The record is from RNAcentral. Lineage: Eukaryota; Viridiplantae; Streptophyta; Magnoliopsida; Poales; Poaceae.
AUGCAGGCUGCUGGUGCUACUUCGGAGGAAAGGAGCAGGGGCUCGCCGUCGGCCAUGGAGAAGGGCGGCGACCAGAGCGCCAGGAAGGCGAGGCUGGAGCUGGUGGUGGCCAACGGCCCUGUGAAGCGACAGAUGGUCGUGCACGAGGCGGGCGAGAUCGUGCCGGCGGAACAGGGCCCGACGAUGGAGGUCUCCGUCAAGAUGGACGUCGCCGUGCUCCACUGCCCCUUCUGCUUCCUCCCCUUCAAGCCACCAGUCUUCCAGUGCAGCGGCGGCCACCUGGCCUGCGGCGACUGCCGCGGCGAGCGGCCCGGGAGCCAGUGGCAGUGCGAGAGGUGCGAGCGCGGCGGCCCCUUCCACAUACGCAGCACGGCGAUGGAGGCCGUCGUCUCCUCGGCCAGGGUCGAGUGCCCGCACGACGGCUGUGGGAGGUACAUCACCUACCACAAGCUCGAGGACCACCAGAGCGCGUGCCCGCACGCGGCAUGCAGGUGCCCGGUUCCCGGCUGCGACUUCGCCGGCCCGCCGCCCGCGCUCCUCCACCACCUCAACACCCUCCACUCCGUGCCCGUACAUAGCGUCCAGUACGGCAAGGUGCUCCAGCUGCAGGUGCCGGUGUCGGAGCCACGGCGCUUGCUGUUCGCGGAGAAGGACGGCCGCGCAUUCCUCGUGGUCGGCGGCACGCUUGGCCUGGGCGCGCCUAUCGCCGUGUCGGUGGUGUGCAUCAGGACGGGGGCGUCCUCGCUGCCGCACUACGCGACCAAGGUGUGGGCCAAGGGGCCACCGGCGGCGGCCAACGGCAGGGCCGACAUCGUCAGGGCGGACAUCGAGGUGACGAGCAGCAAGGAGCCCGGCGCCAUCGCCGUCGAGGACCUGACGUUCUUGACGGUGCCGUCCAAGCUGCUGGGUGGGGCUGGGCCGUCCAGGACGGUGUCUCUCCACAUUCGCAUAGACAAGAUCACCUCCUAA